Molecule: ribosomal RNA, 316 nt
Filed under: uncultured bacterium
Lineage: Bacteria
Description: bacterial SSU rRNA
Rfam family: Bacterial small subunit ribosomal RNA
Source: RNAcentral
GAUGAACGCUAGCUACAGGCUUAACACAUGCAAGUCGAGGGGCAGCAUGAAAGUUUGCUUGCAAACUUUUGAUGGCGACCGGCGCACGGGUGAGUAACACGUAUCCAACCUGCCUCAUACUCGGGGAUAGCCUUUCGAAAGAAAGAUUAAUACCCGAUGUCAUAGUCCUACCGCAUGAUGGGACUAUUAAAGAAUUUCGGUAUGGGAUGGGGAUGCGUUCCAUUAGUUAGGUGGCGGGGUAACGGCCCACCAAGACAACGAUGGAUAGGGGUUCUGAGAGGAAGGUCCCCCACAUUGGAACUGAGACACGGUCCAA